ACGGAGUGAAGCGGGGGAGAAAGGAGGAGAAAGAGAGAGAGGCGGUAGCAAGUGUCUCGCUGCUCUCCCAGUUGGGUUUCUGGGUCCCACUGGCCUUCGAGGAGCGGGGCUUUCCCAGGGGCUGGGGAGGGAGGGUGGGGCUUUGUUCAGAGCGAUGCCAUGCUCUCAGUCGAUCCAUCUUUCCCCGGAUAUGGCUAAUCCGCACAUUUCUCUUCCUGUGUGAUGUUACCAUCACUUUAUCAUAAAUGGGCUAUGAAGACAUUUGGAGCUGCUACUGUUGUAAUCUAUCCAAGAUGAAUAGGGCGAAGGCUGAAAUAAACUCCCCGUUUCCUGUCCCAUCUGUCUGCCAGACUGCGGGUCAGGGGCAUCCUCCCUCCAGGCUGGUAAUUGCAAAAAACGAAGCAACUGAACCCGAACUAGAAGAUCAAAGAGCUCAGGAGAUGAGGAGGAGGGGGAGGAACUUUUCUGAGAACAAACUGGCUACGGGGGCGAAGGCGAUUAGGGGAAACAACAACAACACACAAAAACCCCCAGCCUUCCUUCAUUGACACAGAGAAGGAGGGAGGGGGGGAGAGAGAGGAGAGAGAGAGAGAACGCUCACACACAUUUGGCAGAUGAAGUUUGCUCCUGGAUGGAGCAGGAUAACUAUGUGGGGAGGCUGGGGGACUUUGUAAGGUGGGAGGGUUUCAGGAGCUCUCCUUGUCCCCAUCCUCAUCGUGGCCUUCCUCUGACCUGCAGACUGUCUUUGCUACCUCAUUAGCUACACAAAAACAAAUCCUUCCGAUUCGGUACAGAGACACCAUCUCUCUCUCCCUCUCCUUUCCAGGACCGAUUUCAGAAACAGUCUAGGGCACACCAGGGUUGAGAGGAGCCACCCAGAGUGAUGCAGACUGUCCCAGCUCUCUAAACUGCCACCCAGACACACCGGUCCUGUCCCUAAAGGUCGGUCCUCCCCCACCACGUGGGAGAACCUUGUCACGGUCCUGGAAACCCUGCACUCAGGACUCCCUGGGCCACUCCAGGGCUCAGGCGGUCCGCUCCUUAAGGGACAGUGACUUGGGUCCAUUUUAUGUUCCCGCCCCCCCCCCCGGUGGGGAAGGACGGCAUUCGGGGGCGAGGGUCCCAUGCCUGGACCUUAUUCCUUGGGGUCUGACACUGGGUGACUCCCUAAUUACAUUUCAUAUUCAGAUGAAUGAAACUCUGCAACCAACUGAUGUUUUCCCCACAAUCGGCAAUAAAUCGCAGCCAGGGCGCGAACAGUGUUCACAUUCGCUCCUAUUAAUGCUUCCUGUCUCUGGACGCUGGGCCGGGUCCAGAUUCGCUGCACUACAAGGCUUCCUGCUGGAGGAGUGAGGCCUCUAGGCUGCGUUCCAGUUACAACUGGCAGCUAAUGCCUUCACACAUUCGCAAAUCCCAGGCCCGCCGGGGCAGGAGGCGGCGAGGUUUGCCUGGGGUCAGCAACUGCGGCACUGGCGGAAGCCCCUGGGAGGUGGUUCUGGCCCCCAGGCGGGGUGAGUGGAGCGGGGUCCGCACGGCCUCGCAGGCGCAGGUUGUUUCUCUCCCCUGGAUGCCUGUGGGGGUGGGGACGGCAGAGCCUCGGACACUGCCCGGGGAUCACUCUCAGGCUACUUUUCCCACCCUGCCAAGCUGCUCGAGACGUCAAAGGAGACCAGGCCGGUCAGCACACAGGCUUCUGGUAAGUGCCGCCCUCCGGUCUGGGAGCUCAGCUCUCCCCUUCUGACUCACCGCUCGGCGCUGACUCAUCGUGACGGCGAGUGGGGCUCCAGCUCCGCGGCAUUUCAUAGACAGCGCGGUCACAUUCCUUUCCAACAGUCGCUCUGGCCUCGAUGUCUAAGGCUCCGUGGGCAGCCGGCCUGUGGAUGAGGCGGCGGAAACCACAUCCUCUUCAUCAUCCUCUCACGAGGAAGGACACUGACAGCUUCGGAGAAGGCUGCCCAGUGUCUGCGGGUGCCCUUGGGAGAUGGCCUUGGGACACGGUGCCUGUGCCUGUGUGUGUACACCACGUGUGAACGCCAACUGGGAACACGGCCCCUUCGUAGGCAAACCCAGGCCUCCUGGAAGUCACAAGUUGAUAGCUGUACUCGCCCCUUUUGGAAGACGCACGCCCAAGGCACCCGUGUGUGCACACGUAUCCGUGUGUGGACCUCUGUCCACACGUGUGUGUUUUGAAAAGCCUUUCUCACCACAUGUUAGGAUCACAAGUGUUCAAAAUCUAGGCACACUUUUCAGAAGUUAUUUCUGGAAAAAAUGUUGAAUCUCAUAACAGCAAUAAAAGGAAAAUACCGCCUCAGCCAACAUAAAUGUCUCCUUGGAACAUGCCUGAAAAGCGGCGGAGUAUUUGUGUAAGUUUCAAUUCCAGCGUCAGAGCCUGCAGCUUGGCCGAGGCCGGGUUCUGCACAGGAGGGUGCACGGUCCCUUUCCGAAAGCCCCUCACCGGACUUCUGGGAACUCCCAACCCAUCCCGGGAACCCCACCUGCCGGCCCCGGAUCCGGAUGGGCUCCUGAUGUAUCCCACAGAGGGGAUGCCAACGUCAGACACCAGCAGGCUGGGGAGGAGCGGCUGUGAGGUGCAGCCGGCGGGUGGGCGGCCAGCCUCCAGGACAGACCUCGGAGGAGGCUGGGGGCUGCCUGCUGCCCUCGGGGCCCUGUGGUCCCACCACACCCGUGCCUGUCCCAGUGAUCCUCAUGUCACCGGCCCAGUGAGAGGCUGCUGCUACCAACCCCGCCAGCCUGCAGGCCGCUGAGUGCUGGGCUGCUCCUCCUCAGAGGAUGAGCGUGGGAAUAACCCAGUGGGGCGAGGAUGCUGACGGCGCCAUGGAUGUCCACUGAGGGCCCGAGAUGGGCCAGGCCGAGCUCUGUGCUUUGGAGUCAGAUCUCAUUUAAACCCAGCAGCACAUCCCAUUUCACACGUGGGAAGGUGGGGGAGUCAGGAUCAGAGAGCAGGGUGUCGCAUGGGGGAGCAGCCGGGCUGCGAUGUGAACCCUACAGUCUGCCCAUGAGCCGCACUCCUGGGCUGGACACUCCAGAGCCUUCUCAAGCAGCUUUCUUGGGGCUCCCUGAGCACCUGGCUGGAUGCUGCUGGUCUGGAACUCUGGACGGGGGCCCCGGGAGCUGACCUGCAAAGCUGUAGAGCGACUGUGAGGCACUGGCAGCUUUGCAGCCCCUCUGGACCCAGGGUGGGGUGGGCUGAGCAUCUGGCCUUCUGGGUCUAUCUGGGAGGCAGGGCUGUCUCAGAUCUGGGGCCUUCUGAGAAAGAUGUCGAACCCAAGCUUCCUUGGGGAAGGAGGCAGAUGGACCCCAGAUCACUCUCCUGGGUGUGAAAUCAGCUUUGGGGGUGCCUUCGGGGUCGGGCAGAACUGGGCUCACCCAGCUCUCGCCUUUUCUGGCUGUGUCACUUGGGUGAGCUCCUGAGCCUCUCUGUGCCUCGGUUUCCCUGUUGAUUAGGUCAGGCCAAGGAUUAAAUGAUGGCAAAGUCGUACCACGCUGGCUGGUUUUGGGCCUGUGGGGAUUCUUCAUCAUUUCUUCUCUUUCUCCUACUGCAGCUCCAGGCUACCCUGAGAUUUGCCUGCUGGGUCUGGGCUUCAUGGCGGGGCCAGAUUGGUGCCUCGGAGCAGAGGGCACAGGACAGAGCGGGCACCAAUGCACGGGCAGGUUUCCAGGCACUUUGGGAAGAAAUAAGAUCCCACCCAAGAACCUCUCCCCAACUCUGGCCUUGGCUCGUCCUGGUUGUUUCCAAAAGUGAAAGAAGGCAAAAGAGUGAGCCGAGGCCCACCGGGAACAACAACAAAGACCCGGCCUCGGAGUGGCGGCAGCGCCGCGGCCACUGCAGGAGAGCUCUGGUUUCUAUUAGUGGGAAGCGACGGCUCCGUCUCAGGACAGAGCUUGGGCCAUCAGCCCUCGGCGGGUUAACCCUUCCCCACCUCACUGCUCUCACAGGCAACAGGCACCCCUGAAGCUGGGAAGUCCUGGGGCCGGGUUCAGCUGAGGACUCCCUGCAUCCUGCCACCACCACCAACCAUGCUGGCGCUCACACACACACACACAUACGCACGCACACACGCACACACAUGCCUACACACACCCACACGUCUCACAGACACACACGCACACUCACAUGCAUGCACACGUGCCCACACAUGCCCACAUGUCUCACACACACGCAUGCCCACACAUGCACACACACUUAUAUGUGCACACAUAUGCACAAUCCACACCAGCACACACAUGCACAUACACAUACACACACACAGACAUGCAUGCACAUACACACCCAUACAUGCAAACACAUAUUCCUACACAGGGACACUCCACGCCAGGGCCAUGUCAUCUGAGGCCAAAUGAAGAGUUGGCAGAGGAGGAAGGCCUGGAGAGGUAGCGUGGAGGCCAGAGGAGGCCCUGGUUGAGACGUGCUUGCUGGUUUGGCAGGUGGAGGGACUUGGGGACCAAGUAACCCGGCUCGGUCAAACAUUCUCUCCCCAGGCACGGAUGCUGUGUCCCUGGGGAGCCCAACCUCCCCAAGUGGAGCUUGGCUGAGACCCCUCAGCAGCUCCGAGGGCCCCUGUGGGUUGUGAUGCCAGAAACAGGGCCAGAGCUCAGAGGAGGCACAGGGACUACGGUUUCCGUUGAAAGACGGCUCAGGGUCACCGGGCUCAGCAGAGGGAGGGCGCUUCAGGGGCGGUGACCGGGUCGCUUUAGGAAGAUGGGUGGGGGGCACUCGACUCCCAAGGCUGAGGGAGGGGAAAGGUGUGUGCACACUGCAGGCAUCCGGCCUUUGGGCCCCAGAGUGUGCCGGGCAGGUGUCAUCUCCAUUAACAGCUGCAGCCGCUGUGGAGGUGGCUGCCACCAUGAUACCCAUCGUACAGGUGAGGAGGUGGAGGUAGGAAGGGCGUGGCCUGUCUCAACCUGACAGGGAUGUGUGUAUGUGGCCACAUGUUGACUUUUUGUUUUAAAAUUUGGAUUCUACUGGGGAAAAAGAUUACAAUAAAGUGUCUGUGCUGCACCCAGGAAGGCAUGCCCACUGGGUAAGGCUCGGCACCAAGCGGCCUCUCACUGUGGGUCAGGCUCGCAUGGGGCGGGUGUGCCUGGCCCCUGUGUGAACCUGGAGCUGGCCAUGGGGAGAGGCUGCUCUGGGGCUUUUCAGAGAAUCCGUGGUUGAUUCCCUCAAGGACUCCCUCAAGGGGGCCACGCUCCUCCUCCCUGGGUCCCCUCCCUGGCCCCCACCCUUCCCUUUCUCAGGUCCUCCCUCUGACAGUGGCUGUAGCCCUCUGCUCCUAGCCCAGGGCAGCCCUGGCCUCUGGAGUCACAGUCAUGUGUUCAAGUCUCGGCCCCUUUCCCAAGGUGAGCUGGUCCUGCAGGGAUGCGGGAAGUGUCAGAAUAUGAAAACAACCAGGACAAGGACAGCUCAGCUUACCCCGCUCCAGCACCUUCUCCAGGUCAAGCACUUGGCCAGCCCUGUAGCAGCCUCCUCAUUCCAUCUCUCUGGUGUUUUACAGAUGAGAAAUGAGCACAGAGAGGUUAGGAGCAUUGUCCAGUGCCACAGAGCUGGCAUGUGCUUGUCUGGGCUGAGAACUCUAUGAAGCCUUGGAAAUGCUCCCCACAUAUGGAGCAGUGUGUUCAGGCCCCAUGGCCUGACCGGGAGCAGGAGGGAAGGACAGGCUCAGGUCUCGCAUCCCGGGAAGAAUUUCUCCUCAGUGCACCAGGGAAUAUCGCCUGACGACGGAAUCAGGUUUCUUUCCCCAUGACCCCUCCACCAUUAGUGUUCCCAGAAAGCCAGGGGCUGCUGUGCCCAGAGGAGGUGCACCCUGGGAGCCCUGCCUGCAGGACGGGAAGCAGAGCCCCCUCAGAACAGAAACUAGGAACAGAGGAGGGACAAGGGAGGGAGGGCAGAAGGUCCGGUGCCCUCAGUUUCUAUCCAUCCUUGGGUCGGAAACCUGGGAUGGAAUGAGUGAGGAGCUGGGUCCACAGGGACAGGAACUGGGGGAUACCAGGGGCUAGGGCUGCUCAUCCUUUCCCAAGGAGGAGCCAGGGAAAAAUUAAGCUCAUAGGGAAUGUCGGGUUCACCGGGCCUGGCGGACUCCAGAUCCCAGAGGCAGGGCACCCACACAUCUCUCACCGGCACGCACCAGGGCCCCGAUAGCCGGGCACCAUCAUGGCGAAUUACAUUACAUUGCAUUACCCGGGGACCACUAUCAUGACCACGUUGGGAGAGGAAACUGAGGCACUAAGCUGCCAAAGUCACGCAGCCCACAACACUGGAAGGCAAAGCAGCCGUCUGGACCCCAGAACUGGAGCUGUCCCCUCACUGGGCGAAACCCAGAACCCAGUGUUUGCUUCUUUCUCAGAGUAGCAAGAAGACAUGGCAGAGCUGCCCUCAGGCUGGAGGCUUGCAAGCCGGAGGCGCACCACUGUCUAAGCAAACCAGGCACGAGGAAACGCAUUCGCAAGCCUGAGAAGAUGAGUGGCCAUCACUGGCAUCACCGAAAUGGCCUCCUCAACCGGACGGGAAGAAUCCCUCCCCCAGCUGACUCCCCGAGAUGCUCCAUGCCCCACGUUCCUGACCUCCUAGGGGAAGGAGCAGGAGGAACCCAAGGCCAUCAGAGGGGCCUGGACUGUGGGUGCUGCCAAGUCUGUAGGUGACCCGGUGACCAUCCCGGUUUGCAGGGGACCAAGAUUCUUUCUGGGAUGUGGUGCUUUCAGUGGCAACAAGAAGAGCCCCCUCGGCAGCCCUGGCAAUCCAGGACAGUGGGUCGCCCCCGCACGGCCUGACGCUGUGGCGUGGAGUCUCCAGCGGGGCAGCACUGGGUUGGAGGAGGGAGGAUGCUGCCAGCAUCACGGGGAGGUCACAUGCCAGACACUGGUGUCUGAUUUCCCCUUGAGAGAGGUUUCAUCACUGCCCCGUCCUUGGAAAGGGUCACCCAGUCAGACUACAGAGCCAGGACCAUGAUCCAAAGCUGAGCAGUGCCCACCAAAGACAGUGUUCCCAGUGCUCAGGAGCCCUUGGGCCUUUAUAAGGUGUCUACCGUGGGACUAAAAAAACACCUGUCCCCAGGUGACAGCAUGCUGCCUUUGAAACACAGCUCUGUGAGAACACACCUGGCAAAGGCAGUCUUGGGGGCCACGCGGCAGGGACCCCUUUCCUUUACCAACUCUCACAGGCUGAGCCGCUCUUGCUGUGAAUGUACGUGGCCUUGGUAUGUUCUCCAGCAAGAUUAUAAGUGGAGGAUGGAGUCAGCUGGGAAGCGAGGCUCAGAUCAAGGAGGGCUACUACCAGGAUCCCUGCAGAAACAGGGACACAGGGAGAGAUGGCUGUAAAAUCCUUGAGCUUUAAGGGGUAAGCUCAUGGAGCCCUGAAAAAUAUGACUGCAUUGCAAAUGCCAACUUGUAGACACAAAUAUCGUGGAAGCAGGCCACGUUCAGCCUUGCACACUGUGCGCUCUUCCAUGACUGAGAACGUUAGUCACCUGCACCCUGACCAACCUCUCAUCCCUGAAGCCUGCUGGGAGGUGUCUGGGGACAGGAACGAAAAUUUACAAUGUUCUUUGGUUGUUUAAUUUUGAAUUUUCUCCCUCAUUAUUAUUGAAACUGAAACAUCUAAGAGGACACCCAGAUUUAUCUGAAACCGGAAGAUGACACGUAUGAAGGAUCAAGCAUUCAUCACAAACACAGGCAGGCGAAGGAGACCAAAACACAGCUAGGACCAUGCCAAGCGUCGGUGAUGAUGUGGAGAAAUGGGGACCUGCCAGACACUGCUGGUGGGGAGGUGACAUGGUGCAGCCACUAUGGAAAAUAGUCCAGCAGUUCCUCGAAAUGGAAAGCAGGAGUCCCAUGACCCAGCAGUUCCAUUUUCAAGGAAGUCCCCAAGAGAAAUAGAAACUUACGUCUUCACAAAAGCUUGAAAAUACACAUUCAUAGCAGCAUGAUUCAUAACAUCAAAAAGCAGAAACAGCCCAAAUGCCCAUCAGUGGAUGGAUGGAUAAGCACAAUGUGGCCCCUCCAUACGACACAAUAUUACUCAGCCAUAAGAACGAGUGAGGUAGCGGCACAGGCCACAAAGUGGGCGAACCUGGGAACCACGGGACUGAGUGGAAGGAGCCAGUCACAAAAGGUCAUGGGCUGUCUGAAUCCAUUCAUUUGAAUUUCCAGACUAGGCAAAUCCACAGAGACAGAAAGUGGGUUGGUGGUUGCAGUGGCUGGGGGCAGGGGGACAUGGGGAGAGUGCGGAGUGAGUACUAAUAGGUGUGUGGUUUCUUUUUUCAGUGAUAAAAAUGUACUAAAAUUUAUUGUGAUGGUUGCACAAGUCUGUGGCUGAAAACCACUGAAUUGUACGUUUUAAUGGGGUGCAUUGUUUGCGUGUGAAUCACAUCUCAAUAAAGCUGUUUUUAAAAUGCAAUUAUUGCACAAUGCAAA
This 8427-nucleotide long non-coding RNA is filed under the name Homo sapiens (human). RNAcentral describes it as "HSALNT0289858". Lineage: Eukaryota; Metazoa; Chordata; Mammalia; Primates; Hominidae. The record is from RNAcentral.